CGUUUGAAUCCAAUUCGUUUCCAAGAAAGGGGAUGGUCUCGUCAAUCCCUCGUCAGUCUCUCUCUCUCUCUCUCUCUCUCUCUCUCUCUCUCUUUCUCAUUCUUUCUCUCUCUCUCUCUCUGGAGAGCAUCAUGGGGAGAGAUUUUCUCCCGAGGGGGUCUGGGAUUGUGAUGAGGAGGUCGUUGGUGCUUCAGCUGCACAAGACGGAGGGUCAGGGAGGGGAUUAUGCGGAGUGUCUGCACUUGCCAAGGAGGAAAUUCACUGAUUUUGGGUUUAAAGAUAUAACCUCCGAAUAGUCAAUGGCGACUGAGGCUGAACUCUCCAAACACAAAGGAGGUAUCUUUAACCGCUAUGAUGAUGCCAUCGUUAUGUAAUUUGUAAAAUGAAAAUCCACCCCCUGCCCUUCCUAAAUUCAAGUAAAGCUAAAACCUGAGUUUUUUUUCCAUUUUGUGCUCAUUAUGUAGUCUGAGAUGUCUAUAUCUGGUUUAACGUUUAAUUCCCAAAAGAUAUCCUGCUACGCGGCACGAGCAAGAUGUUCUAAUUUCUCUGUUGGGUCUUCGUCCUUGAUUUCUAAUGGGUUCAUUAAGCUGAAGUUGAGCUUUUUAUCUCAUACGGAUAGGAAAUAUUUGGCCGUGACAGUUCGCAAAUUUUCGGUUGGAAGACCCGUCAGGAUAAAGAGCAGCGUAUAUGCUGCAUUUGGUGACAUGGCUGAUGAUUCAACCGCCAUUCAGGUGUCUUUCCAAGGAUUGACGUAAAGGACCCUUAUAAACGACUUAGAAUCGGUAGAGAGGCAUCUGAAGAAGAAAUUCAAGCUGCAAGGAACUUUCUGGUAAACAAAUAUGGGGGUCACAAGCCAAGUGUUGAUGCAAUAGAGUCAGCUCACGACAAAAUAAUAAUCUUAACUACAUUUAAAUACUGAGAUUGUUGAGUAAGCAAAGAGGCGAGCUGAGAUGGCAAGGCUACUCUUGCUUCAUCAGAUGACAAGGCUAAAGACUUGGAUCAAGCGCAAUCUGGGAAACUAAAAACUGAAUCCUGUUGAUAUACAAAGAUUGGGAAAUGUGGAAACAGUAACUAACCAAAUAAGUAAUAUAUCUGUUUCUUCAGCAGCAGAAGUAGCAAGCUCGUUUUAUUUAAAUCACUCACAGCACUCUCAACUUGUCUUGGAACAGCAUCAGGAUCAUCGAUUGAAGAACGCAAUAACAAUACAAAACCAAACUUGUUUAUUUAAAUCACCAAUACCUGCAGUGUACAUGUUGAUGCAAAG
Asparagus officinalis (garden asparagus) is the source of this 1264-nucleotide long non-coding RNA. RefSeq lists it as uncharacterized. Lineage: Eukaryota; Viridiplantae; Streptophyta; Magnoliopsida; Asparagales; Asparagaceae. The record is from RefSeq and is a predicted model, not a curated record. The transcript has 6 exons.